RNAcentral lists this ribosomal RNA (524 nucleotides) under uncultured bacterium. Its description in RNAcentral is "partial 16S ribosomal RNA". It matches the Rfam family "Bacterial small subunit ribosomal RNA", at positions 28 to 523 of the family's 1533-position model. The record is from RNAcentral.
GACGAACGCUGGCGGCGUGCCUAAUACAUGCAAGUCGAGCGCAGGAAGCUGACGGAACUCUUCGGAGGGAAGGCAGUGGAAUGAGCGGCGGACGGGUGAGUAACACGUAAGGAACCUGCCUCAAGGAUUGGGAUAACUCCGAGAAAUCGGAGCUAAUACCGGAUAGUUCAACGGACCGCAUGGUCCGCUGAUGAAAGGCGCUUCGGCGUCACCUUGAGAUGGCCUUGCGGUGCAUUAGCUAGUUGGUGGGGUAACGGCCUACCAAGGCGACGAUGCAUAGCCGACCUGGGAGGGUGAUCGGCCACACUGGGACUGGGACACGGCCCAGACUCCUACGGGAGGAAGAAGUAGGGAAUCUUCCACAAUGGACGAAAGUCUGAUGGAGCAACGCCGCGUGAGUGAUGAAGGUUUUCGGAUCGUAAAACUCUGUUGUAAGGGAAGAACACGUACGAGAGGGAAUGCUCGAACCUUGACGGUACCUUACGAGAAAGCCACGGCUAACUACGUGCCAGCAGCCGCCGUAA